GAGGGUAUAGCUCAAGUGGAAGAGUACAUGCUUAGCAUACACUAGGUCCUGGGUUCAAUCCCCAGUACCUCCA
Transfer RNA from Camelus ferus (Wild Bactrian camel), 73 nucleotides. It matches the Rfam family "tRNA". Rfam says of the family: Transfer RNA (tRNA) molecules are approximately 80 nucleotides in length. Lineage: Eukaryota; Metazoa; Chordata; Mammalia; Artiodactyla; Camelidae. The record is from Rfam.